Molecule: microRNA, 22 nt
Filed under: Mus musculus (house mouse)
Lineage: Eukaryota; Metazoa; Chordata; Mammalia; Rodentia; Muridae
Description: mmu-miR-673-5p
Gene: mmu-miR-673-5p
Source: miRBase by way of RNAcentral
CUCACAGCUCUGGUCCUUGGAG